CAGAAAGACAGAGUCACUGAACAGUGAUGCC
Molecule: non-coding RNA, 31 nt
Filed under: Homo sapiens (human)
Lineage: Eukaryota; Metazoa; Chordata; Mammalia; Primates; Hominidae
Source: RNAcentral